This 468-nucleotide ribosomal RNA is filed under the name uncultured bacterium. RNAcentral describes it as "bacterial SSU rRNA". It matches the Rfam family "Bacterial small subunit ribosomal RNA", at positions 329 to 795 of the family's 1533-position model. The record is from RNAcentral.
UUCCAGACUCCUACGGGAGGCAGCAGUGAGGAAUAUUGGUCAAUGGGCGGAAGCCUGAACCAGCCAAGUCGCGUGAGGGAAUAAGGCCCUACGGGUCGUAAACCUCUUUUGCCGGGGAGCAAGGGCGGGGACGUGUCCCGGCCCGGAGAGUACCCGGAGAAAAAGCAUCGGCUAACUCCGUGCCAGCAGCCGCGGUAAUACGGAGGAUGCGAGCGUUAUCCGGAUUUAUUGGGUUUAAAGGGUGCGUAGGCGGAUUUUUAAGCCGGAGGUAAAGGCCGGGGGCCCACCCCCGGCGAGCCGUUGAAACUGGCUGUCUUGAGAUGUCGAGAGGUAUGCGGAAUGCGCAGUGUAGCGGUGAAAUGCUUAGAUAUUGCGCAGAACUCCGAUUGCGAAGGCAGCAUACCGGCGGCGAUCUGACGCUGAGGCACGAAAGCGUGGGUAUCGAACAGGAUUAGAUACCCGCGUAAC